UUCUGUUUAAAAUUAAAGGAACUUUUGAAAAACUAGGGACUUAAAGUUAAGCCUUUUAAAGUGAAAUCAUACUCUAUCAACAACAUUAUAUACCUAAUGCAAUUCAGAAAUCCAAACCAGUAUACACCAUCUGAUACCAUUUUUGGGUCCAUACGUUACUUGUAACAAAUUAAGAACUACCCACACGUGGUAUGAUAUGUGUAUGUUCAAUUUUUUUUUCUUAUACAAUUUAUAACUUUAAAAUAAACGCUAAAUUAUAUCACUGUUUAUAAACUGAAUAAUUAAUUGAUUUUGGUAUAUAUGUGUAUGAUCAUUAGGCUUUUGGGCCAAAAGUGAAGAAAUAGGUUAGGCUAGUCGCAUCCACUAAUAUGCUUUCAUCCGACCCAUGUCAGGGGUUUCAAACAUUCCCUAGGAUCCUUGUAGUAGGACUAUCGGAGCGGAAUAAGUGUGUCCCAAAGUUAUAAAGAAAAACUAUAAAAUAUAAAUAAAAGUUUUUGGACCCAAAAAACAAAAAAAAACAAAAAAAAAGGCAGAAUAUAUAAAUGUUUUGCAAUUUUUCCAAAAAAAAAAAAAGCAAAUUAGCUCAAUAUACUGAAAAGAGUGGGAUACCAUUGAAUUGGGGAAAAAUGGUAGUGAUGGAGGGAAAAAAUUUGAAGGGAAAUAGUGUAUGGAAUGCAAAUAAGGAGGAAGUUGUGUGUAUGGAGUACAAAUACUCAAAAAAAAAUGUAUAAUACAAUGAACCAGGUUGCAAGAACACAAUGAAAAACUUUAUGCACAUAAGCAAUUAUAUGCACACAAUGAAGAACUUUAUGCACAUAAGCAAUUAUAUGCACACAAUGUCUUUUACUUGUAUAAGAAAUGUUAAAGUGGGUUCUUGAAAACUAUGUGCUAACUUAAAUUUAUCAUUUAAGAAAAAAAAAACCUUAAAUUUAUCACCCUAAAGUUAUACUACUAUCAAGUUGUGAUAUUAUGUCCAGAUUUUAUACUAUUAAUACAGUAGUUUACACGGUUUUAAACCACAUGGGCCAUAACACAUUUACAUUUUCAUGCAGUAUAUAGAAUCUGGUUUAAAUGCAUGCCAGCCCACACUAAUUGCUUCUUAUAGAUUCAUAUUAAUAAGAUCAACCGUGAAUUAAAUUUGAUUUUGGUUUCGUCUUGAUAUUCUAAAUUAUGUAUAUUAGAUUCACUAGAGCCUUUUCC
Molecule: long non-coding RNA, 1200 nt
Filed under: Brassica rapa (field mustard)
Lineage: Eukaryota; Viridiplantae; Streptophyta; Magnoliopsida; Brassicales; Brassicaceae
Description: long non-coding RNA (BRAP_LNC006591)
Source: RNAcentral